GCCGCCUUAGCUCAGUGGUAGAGCACUUCCAUGGUAAGGAAGGGGUCUCGAGUUCAAAUCUCGAAGGCGGCUCCA
Molecule: transfer RNA, 75 nt
Filed under: TM7 phylum sp. oral taxon 351
Lineage: Bacteria; Candidatus Saccharimonadota
Also listed under: 11 other names
Description: tRNA-Thr
Rfam family: tRNA
About the family: Transfer RNA (tRNA) molecules are approximately 80 nucleotides in length. Their secondary structure includes four short double-helical elements and three loops (D, anti-codon, and T loops).
Source: RNAcentral